AUUUUUUUUGUAAUGCCCUUUUCAUGAUGGCCUUUUUUAACUCUACCCUUUUUUUUUAGCCAUUUUUAUUUCUAUCCUCUUUAAAUUUUUAAUGACCAUUUUACCUUUAUUUGAAAA
Molecule: small RNA, 117 nt
Filed under: Arabidopsis thaliana (thale cress)
Lineage: Eukaryota; Viridiplantae; Streptophyta; Magnoliopsida; Brassicales; Brassicaceae
Description: ATSL205070
Source: RNAcentral